This 482-nucleotide ribosomal RNA is filed under the name Hemibagrus filamentus. Its description in RNAcentral is "partial 12S ribosomal RNA". It matches the Rfam family "Bacterial small subunit ribosomal RNA", at positions 855 to 1533 of the family's 1533-position model. The record is from RNAcentral. Lineage: Eukaryota; Metazoa; Chordata; Actinopteri; Siluriformes; Bagridae.
ACACGCACAUCCGCCCGGGUACUACGAGCACAGCUUAAAACCCAAAGGACUUGGCGGUGUCUCAGACCCACCUAGAGGAGCCUGUUCUAGAACCGAUAACCCCCGUUAAACCUCAUCACUUCUUGUUUUUUCCGCCUAUAUACCGCCGUCGUCAGCUUACCCUGUGAAGGUUUAAUAGUAAGCAAAAUGGGCCCACCCAAAAACGUCAGGUCGAGGUGUAGCGUACGAAGUGGAAAGAAAUGGGCUACAUUUUCUAUACAUAGAAUACUACGGACGACACCUUGAAAUCAGGUGUCAGAAGGUGGAUUUAGUAGUAAAAAGCAAAUAGAGCGUACCUUUGAAUUAGGCUCUGAGACGCGCACACACCGCCCGUCACUCUCCCCUCAUAUUUCUCUUUUAAUAAAUUCAUAAUAAAUCAACCAUAAACACGGGGAGGCAAGUCGUAACAUGGUAAGUGUACCGGAAGGUGCACUUGGAAUAAU